Molecule: unclassified non-coding RNA, 887 nt
Filed under: Hevea brasiliensis (rubber tree)
Lineage: Eukaryota; Viridiplantae; Streptophyta; Magnoliopsida; Malpighiales; Euphorbiaceae
Source: RNAcentral
CUUGGAGUUGGACCACCCAAACACAUCCAUCACUUGCACAAAUUAACUUGUGGCAUAGAAAGAUAUGGUACAAUAGUCUUCUUUUGCAUGCACUGAAAAUUUUUUGGAAUUUCCUUUCCAACAAGAAUUCUGCAAAUGGAAACAACAAAAAACUGUGCUCAUGAAUCCCUGCACUUACAAAGAUCAAUUGAAAUGGUGGUGAUGGUGGUGGUGGUGGCGGCCGCAGUGGUGUCCGAUCUCGUCCAAACCGAAGCACCGCAAGAAAGGGUAACAAGCUGCGUAUAUGCAUCUCCCAACUCCGCUGAAAAUGGAAGAUACAAGGAAGUAAGGGCAGCAACAACACGCCAAGAAGGGAUCGUCGUAUGGGCUAUCUCCAUGAUGGUGAUGGUGGUGGUGGUGACCCAUAUUCUUCUCUUAGCUAAUUAAACAAAAAAUCAACAAAUGCCCAUUACUCAAAAAUCCAUAUCAUUCAAACCCUUUUCUUUUGCACAAAUCUAUCGCCUAAAUACCUAUUUCAGGAUUCUACCUGGAAUAUUAAAUUACAGAAGUAAUUUUCAGGAGGAAUUCAUAUUUAAAGUAAGAUUUUAGAACAGUAGAAUUAACAUAACCUAUUAAGAAAGAAGAUCGAAACUCGUAAAUUAGUAGCGAAAAAACCUCUCGGACGCUCUCUCUGUCGACAAAGAUCUGCAGCUACGAUAAAUGAAGGACAAUAACUGAAUGGGUUUGACGGGUUGUGUGAGGAGAAUUGAGUUUUCUCUGAAGAAUAUUGAGCUGGAAUGGAAAGCAGCGAGCAGAUAAGAAUACUAUACUUCUCCGCUGGUAAUAGAAUGCCUGAUUUUCCUUCUAUGAAUUACCAUAAGCACGUAAAAGGAGACUGCUAACGGAAC